Molecule: ribosomal RNA, 322 nt
Filed under: uncultured bacterium
Lineage: Bacteria
Description: bacterial SSU rRNA
Rfam family: Bacterial small subunit ribosomal RNA
Source: RNAcentral
AACGAACGCUGGCGGCGUGGAUAAGACAUGCAAGUCGAACGCUUAUUUCGGUGUAGCAAUACAUCGGAGUAGGAAUGGCGCAAGGGUGCGUAACACGUGGGUAAUUUGCCGUGAAGUCCGGGAUAACUUGCUGAAAGGCGAGCUAAUACCGGAUGUGGAAAUUGGAAGGCAUCUUUUGAUUUCUGAAGUUGGGGACCGCAAGGCCUGACGCUUUACGAUAAGCCCGCGGCCUAUCAGCUAGUUGGUGAGGUAACGGCUCACCAAGGCGACGACGCGUAGCCGGACUGAGAGGUUGGCCGGCCACAUUGGGACUGAGACACUG